RNAcentral lists this ribosomal RNA (1432 nucleotides) under uncultured organism. Its description in RNAcentral is "16S ribosomal RNA". It matches the Rfam family "Bacterial small subunit ribosomal RNA". The record is from RNAcentral.
GAUGAACGCUAGCUACAGGCUUAACACAUGCAAGUCGAGGGGCAGCAUGGUCUUAGCUUGCUAAGGCCGAUGGCGACCGGCGCACGGGUGAGUAACACGUAUCCAACCUGCCGUCUACUCUUGGACAGCCUUCUGAAAGGAAGAUUAAUACAAGAUGGCAUCAUGAGUCCACAUGUUCACAUGAUUAAAGGUAUUCCGGUAGACGAUGGGGAUGCGUUCCAUUAGAUAGUAGGCGGGGUAACGGCCCACCUAGUCUUCGAUGGAUAGGGGUUCUGAGAGGAAGGUCCCCCACAUUGGAACUGAGACACGGUCCAAACUCCUACGGGAGGCAGCAGUGAGGAAUAUUGGUCAAUGGGCGAGAGCCUGAACCAGCCAAGUAGCGUGAAGGAUGACUGCCCUAUGGGUUGUAAACUUCUUUUAUAAAGGAAUAAAGUCGGGUAUGCAUACCCGUUUGCAUGUACUUUAUGAAUAAGGAUCGGCUAACUCCGUGCCAGCAGCCGCGGUAAUACGGAGGAUCCGAGCGUUAUCCGGAUUUAUUGGGUUUAAAGGGAGCGUAGAUGGAUGUUUAAGUCAGUUGUGAAAGUUUGCGGCUCAACCGUAAAAUUGCAGUUGAUACUGGAUAUCUUGAGUGCAGUUGAGGCAGGCGGAAUUCGUGGUGUAGCGGUGAAAUGCUUAGAUAUCACGAAGAACUCCGAUUGCGAAGGCAGCCUGCUAAGCUGCAACUGACAUUGAGGCUCGAAAGUGUGGGUAUCAAACAGGAUUAGAUACCCUGGUAGUCCACACGGUAAACGAUGAAUACUCGCUGUUUGCGAUAUACAGCAAGCGGCCAAGCGAAAGCGUUAAGUAUUCCACCUGGGGAGUACGCCGGCAACGGUGAAACUCAAAGGAAUUGACGGGGGCCCGCACAAGCGGAGGAACAUGUGGUUUAAUUCGAUGAUACGCGAGGAACCUUACCCGGGCUUAAAUUGCAGAUGAAUUACGGUGAAAGCCGUAAGCCGCAAGGCAUCUGUGAAGGUGCUGCAUGGUUGUCGUCAGCUCGUGCCGUGAGGUGUCGGCUUAAGUGCCAUAACGAGCGCAACCCUUGUUGUCAGUUACUAACAGGUCAUGCUGAGGACUCUGACAAGACUGCCAUCGUAAGAUGUGAGGAAGGUGGGGAUGACGUCAAAUCAGCACGGCCCUUACGUCCGGGGCUACACACGUGUUACAAUGGGGGGUACAGAGGGCCGCUACCACGCGAGUGGAUGCCAAUCCCAAAAACCUCUCUCAGUUCGGACUGGAGUCUGCAACCCGACUCCACGAAGCUGGAUUCGCUAGUAAUCGCGCAUCAGCCACGGCGCGGUGAAUACGUUCCCGGGCCUUGUACACACCGCCCGUCAAGCCAUGGGAGCCGGGGGUACCUGAAGUGCGUAACCGCGAGGAGCGCCCUAGGGUA